This 2073-nucleotide long non-coding RNA is filed under the name Homo sapiens (human). RNAcentral's name for it is "HSALNT0375112". The record is from RNAcentral. Lineage: Eukaryota; Metazoa; Chordata; Mammalia; Primates; Hominidae.
AAUUAGGAUAGCCAAAUAUAAAUAACACAUCAUUCAAAUCCAGAUCAUUCCAAAGAACAAUUUAAUGUAAAAAAUAGGAGAUGCAUGAAUGUAUCUUUCCUCCUUAAUAUGGUUUGGCUGUUUUCCCAACCAAAAUCUCAUUUUGAAUUGUAAUCCCCAUAAACCCCAUGUGUCAAGGGAGAGACCAGGUGGAGGUAAUUGAAUCAUGGGGGUGGUUUCCGCAUGCUGUUGUCAUGAUGGUGAGUGAGUUCUCAUGAGAUCUGAUGGUUUUAUAAGUGGUAGUUCCUCCUGGGUUCAUUUCUUCUUCCUGCCACCUUGUAAAGAAGGUGCCUUGCUUUCCCUUCACCUUGGGCCAUGAUUGUAAGUCUCCUGAGGCCUCCUCAGCCAUGCUGAAAUGCCUAGGACCUAGGAGCACAUGAUGGGACGCGGUCAACAAAACAUUCAGAAUGAGCAAAUCAAUAUGGAACGUGUUGUCUGGCUUUUCUUGGCAGCAUGGGUUCUUUGAAGAGUUUUAAAGAGAAUUCACAAUUACUGAAUAUUACAUAAUUUGAAGAUGAGUAAACUGCUUUCAUCACUGCUCUGGCAAUAAAAUCUGGAAAUCUGGAGAACUCUAGCUUCUAAAAACUAUCUUAUGAUCCAAUUCAGAAUGUGUAGUUCUGCACACAUCGUACAUUUCUUUUUCCUAAGCCAAAUGAUCAUCAAUUCAUCUAAAACCAUUGUCAGGAGGCCCUAUGCUAUGCAAGACUAAUUGUGAGUGUGACUGUAUGCAAAAACAAACAAACAAACAAGGGAAAAAAAGCUUGUUAAAAAGGGAAUUCUUUACUCAAGAGGCAGGAAAAAAAUACCUCCUGACUAGGGAAAGCACAUAUUGAUAGUUCCAGCAGCAACAAACCUGGAGAUCUCUGUCAUUUCUGUUCAAGUGCAUGAAAAGCAAGGCAGCAAAAGCUGUUGGUGCUGUGAGCAUAGAAGGCUAAGGACAUACUUCCCAGCAACUUGCUCGGACUGGACGGUGACUGGAGCUGAUUCCUGAGAUGGGAGUGUGAGCUUGGCAGGCUUUGACAUGGAGCCAGGCCAAAGUGGGAGGCCAAAUUUACAGUGUCAAAUAAACCAUGACUUAGGCGAGAUUUUGUUCAAAAGUAUCAUUGGAAGGGGUUGGAUGGUGGUGGGGUGUGGGGAGACUAUUGUAAUAAAUAGAACACUCUACACAUGAGAUCUGCAGGCAUCUCAAGAGUUAGGCAAAAAGUGGUUUUGUUUUAUAGGAGGAAUAAACAAGGAAGUGAUGUGAGGAAGUGGAUGAAGGGGUCCCAAAAGUGGGUAGUGGAUCAGGGAACAUUCUUCUGGAGGCCAGCCUGUUCUUAGGAGUGAGUGAAGACCAGCUCAGGCUGAUGGUGGGCCAAGGUUCUGGGACCUGGGGAAAGGACAGAAACUUAACCAAAGUUCAAUAAAUAAGAAUUUUGUUUCCAUUAAUUUCAGGGGAAAAAAUAGUUCAGCUAAUCUAUGAGGCAAAGAAUAGGAAUUUGGAAGGCCCAGUCUGGCCUGUCAUAAGUAAACAGGGGCAGGGGUGGGGUGAUAUGGUUAAGCUUUGUGUCCCCACCCAAAUCUCACCUUGAAUUGUAAUCCCCAUAAUCCCCACUUGUCAAGGGAGAGACCAGGUGGAGGAAAUUGAAUCAUGGAUGUGGUUUCUCCCAUGCUGGUCUCGUGAUAAUGAGUGAAUUAUCAUGAGAUCUGAUGGUUUUAUAAGGGGCUCUUCUCCCUUCGUUCAACACUUCUCCUUCCUGCCGCCUUGUGAAGAAGACGCCUUGCUUCCCCUUGGCCUUACACCAUGAUUGGAAACUUGGACCCAGAGACAUACUCAGAGGAAGAACGCUGUGUGAAGGCGGAGGCAGAGGUCAAGGGGAUUCAUCUAUGAGCCACAGACUGCCACAGACUGCCAGCCAACCCUCACCAGAGCCAGGAGAGAGGCACAGGGCAGAGUCUACCUCAUACCCCUCAGAAGGAGUCAACGGUGCUGAUACCUUGAUUUCUGACCUUUACCUUCAGAACUGUGAGACAAUAAAUUUCUAUUGUGUAAGC